Molecule: transfer RNA, 85 nt
Filed under: Felis catus (domestic cat)
Lineage: Eukaryota; Metazoa; Chordata; Mammalia; Carnivora; Felidae
Also listed under: 4 other names
Rfam family: tRNA
About the family: Transfer RNA (tRNA) molecules are approximately 80 nucleotides in length. Their secondary structure includes four short double-helical elements and three loops (D, anti-codon, and T loops).
Source: Rfam by way of RNAcentral
ACCUGUGUGGCUCAGUUGGUUGAGCAUCUGACUUUGGCUCAGGUCAUGAUCUUGCAGUUUGUGGGUUCGAGUCCCCCAUUGGGCU